Molecule: unclassified non-coding RNA, 148 nt
Organism: Pongo abelii (Sumatran orangutan)
Lineage: Eukaryota; Metazoa; Chordata; Mammalia; Primates; Hominidae
Rfam family: Metazoan signal recognition particle RNA
About the family: The signal recognition particle (SRP) is a universally conserved ribonucleoprotein.
Source: Ensembl
GCCGGGCAUGGUGGUGCAUGCCUGUAGUCCCAGCUACUCAGGAGGCUGAGGCAGGAGAAUCGCUUGAACCCGAGAGGCAGAGGUUGCAGUGAACAGAGAUUGUGCCACUGCACUCCAGCCUGGGUGACAGAGCGAGACUCUGUCUCAA